GCCGUCGUAGCGCAAUGGUAGCGCGUCGCUUUCCUACUUGCACUGUCUAGGCGAAGGUUGCGAGUUCGAUCCUCGUCGUCGGUA
RNAcentral lists this transfer RNA (84 nucleotides) under Armillaria solidipes. It matches the Rfam family "tRNA". From Rfam's summary of the family: Transfer RNA (tRNA) molecules are approximately 80 nucleotides in length. Their secondary structure includes four short double-helical elements and three loops (D, anti-codon, and T loops). Lineage: Eukaryota; Fungi; Basidiomycota; Agaricomycetes; Agaricales; Physalacriaceae. The record is from Rfam by way of RNAcentral.